AUUGAACGCUGGCGGCAUGCCUUACACAUGCAAGUCGAACGGCAGCACGGGUGCUUGCACCUGGUGGCGAGUGGCGAACGGGUGAGUAAUACAUCGGAACGUACCUUAUCGUGGGGGAUAACGCAGCGAAAGCUGUGCUAAUACCGCAUACGCCCUGAGGGGGAAAGCGGGGGAUCGCAAGACCUCGCGCGAUUAGAGCGGCCGAUGCCUGAUUAGCUUGUUGGUGGGGUAAAAGCCCACCAAGGCGACGAUCAGUAGCUGGUCUGAGAGGACGAUGAGCGACGCUGGGAGUGAGACACGGCCCAGACUCCUACGGGAGGCAGCAGUGGGGAAUUUUGGACAAUGGGGGCAACCCUGAUCCAGCAAUGCCGCGUGAGUGAAGAAGGCCUUCGGGUUGUAAAGCUCUUUUGUCAGGGAAGAAACACCGGCUCUAACACAGUCCGGGAAUGACGGUACCUGAAGAAUAAGCACCGGCUAACUACGUGCCAGCAGCCGCAGUAA
Molecule: ribosomal RNA, 501 nt
Filed under: uncultured bacterium
Lineage: Bacteria
Description: partial 16S ribosomal RNA
Rfam family: Bacterial small subunit ribosomal RNA
Source: RNAcentral